This 528-nucleotide long non-coding RNA is filed under the name Gossypium barbadense (sea-island cotton). RNAcentral's name for it is "long non-coding RNA (GBAR_LNC017301)". Lineage: Eukaryota; Viridiplantae; Streptophyta; Magnoliopsida; Malvales; Malvaceae. The record is from RNAcentral.
AAGGGUCUGUUUGAUAGGGGAAAAUAUUUUCCGGAAUUGGUUUUCCACAUUUUCCGGUGUUUGUUUGUUGGAAAAUGAAUUCCCAUAUGAAAACAUUUUACAAACACGGGUAAAAUCCGAAGCUUUUUUUUAGAAAUUGUCUUACCCAUUUCUCUACCGUAAGACAUUUUCCCUUUCUCCUUUCUCUUCUUCAACCUUCUUCAACCUUCUUCUGUUAUCUCUAUCUGCUAAGGUCGGCAUAUCGCAAAAGAUUCGGCCCUCUGCUAAGAGUGGUUCCAGUUGAUUUACCUCCCCAUUUUUGAGUUUUCUUCUAUCCACUCUUUUCUUUUUUCUCAAUUUUCCUAUGGUUGAAUGGAAGUCUGGAAGGGAAUGAGUGGGAAUUGAAAUUUUUUAAUUUAAUCAUUAAAUUACAAAUAAUUGACUUCUAAUGAAUUUUUAAUAUGAGGUUAAGUCCAUUUUGGUUUAAUACAUAAUAUUAAAAAAAAUUUUCUUGUUUUCUCUUUUGAACUUCAUUUUUAAAGUUCCAAA